GACGAACGCUGGCGGCGUGCUUAACACAUGCAAGUCGAACGAUGAAGCCAGCUUGCUGGUGGAUUAGUGGCGAACGGGUGAGUAACACGUGGGUGAUCUGCCCCAAACUUUGGGAUAAGCCUGGGAAACUGGGUCUAAUACCGGAUAUGACCAUGGGAUGCAUGUUCUGUGGUGGAAAGCUUUUGCGGUUUGGGAUGGGCCCGCGGCCUAUCAGCUUGUUGGUGGGGUAAUGGCCUACCAAGGCGACGACGGGUAGCCGGCCUGAGAGGGCGACCGGCCACACUGGGACUGAGACACGGCCCAGACUCCUACGGGAGGCAGCAGUGGGGAAUAUUGCACAAUGGGCGCAAGCCUGAUGCAGCGACGCCGCGUGAGGGAUGACGGCCUUCGGGUUGUAAACCUCUUUCAGUAGGGACGAAGCUUUCGGGUGACGGUACCUACAGAAGAAGCACCGGCCAACUACGUGCCAGCCGCCGCAGUAAUAC
Molecule: ribosomal RNA, 485 nt
Filed under: uncultured bacterium
Lineage: Bacteria
Description: bacterial SSU rRNA
Rfam family: Bacterial small subunit ribosomal RNA
Source: RNAcentral